RNAcentral lists this ribosomal RNA (478 nucleotides) under uncultured bacterium. RNAcentral's name for it is "partial 16S ribosomal RNA". It matches the Rfam family "Bacterial small subunit ribosomal RNA", at positions 28 to 523 of the family's 1533-position model. The record is from RNAcentral.
GACGAACGCUGGCGGCGUGCUUAACACAUGCAAGUCGAACGGUAAGGCCCUUCGGGGUACACGAGUGGCGAACGGGUGAGUAACACGUGGGUGAUCUGCCCUGCACUUCGGGAUAAGCCUGGGAAACUGGGUCUAAUACCGGAUAGGACCACUGCCUGCAUGGGUGGUGGUGGAAAGCUUUUGCGGUGUGGGAGGGGCCCGCGGCCUAUCAGCUUGUUGGUGGGGUGAUGGCCUACCAAGGCGACGAGGGGUAGCCAGCCUGAGAGGGUGACCGGCCACACUGGGACUGAGAUGCGGCCCAGACUCCUACGGGAGGCAGCAGUGGGGAAUAUUGCACAAUGGGCGCAAGCCUGAUGCAGCGACGCCGCGUGAGGGAUGACGGCCUUCGGGUUGUAAACCUCUUUCAGCACCGACGAAGCGCAAGUGACGGUAGGUGCAGAAGAAGGACCGGCCAACUACGUGCCAGCAGCCGCCGUAA